AAUAAUAUUAGAAAUUGAGUCUCCAAAUUAAUGUAAAUUCUUAAUCACUGCUCAAGCUUGCACAUUAAGGAUUACUUUGAGCGCAAUUUUUUAUAUUACAGUAAAUAAUAAUAUAUUAAAUUAUUGUACAAUAUACAAUAUAUAUAAAGAGUUAUACUAUCAAUCUUUUUCUGAACUGACGAUUCCGAGUCUCGACAUCAAACUCGCGAAACUCAUGUUCGACCGUUAGACGCCGUGCCGUCGUAAGCGGUGAGAUCCCGACGACGGACAGAGGUGCCGUACGGCAAACCGGGCUCGUGCGACGACCGGCCCGCGAGGACCAGCCGCCUAGGUGUGUCACAUUGUUUUGAGCCUUUCGACCGACGAGACUCCUAGAGAUAUCAUCACUAUCUCCUGUACAUUCAUUUAAACUAGUUUAUGCUAAGUGUAUAAUAUUGCAAUCCAAUUGUAUAUGCCUCGACCUUACUCUGUUCAUACCUGCUGUUGUCAUGCCAGCAUGUCUCAUUUAAAAGAUGACAGUGUUUACCACAAAAAGCAGUACUAAAAAAAAAAGAGUAGUCAAGUGGAUAACCAAGUGCUCCUAUAUAGAAAAUUACAUUGUGAUUACAGAAAGAAAAUAUGUUUAGCAACGAGAAAUAUCGCAAUAUGCAUUAUCUUUAUGGACUUUCUGAUGGAAAUGCUGCUGCAGCUGAGAGGAAACAUCAGAUGCGGUGUGACAGCAGAGAUAUGGAUAGAGUACAAUAAACCAUACCGAAUACAAGACAA
Molecule: long non-coding RNA, 765 nt
Organism: Temnothorax curvispinosus
Lineage: Eukaryota; Metazoa; Arthropoda; Insecta; Hymenoptera; Formicidae
Exons: 2
Source: RefSeq, a predicted model, not a curated record